CAUGCAUGUCUCAGUACGAGCCGUAUUAAGGUGAAACCGCGAAAGGCUCAUUAAAUCAGUUAUGGUUCCUUAGAUCGUACCCACAUUUACUUGGAUAACUGUGGUAAUUCUAGAGCUAAUACAUGCAAACAGAGCUCCGACCGGAGACGGAAGGAGCGCUUUUAUUAGAUCAAAACCAAUCGGUGUCGGGUUUACUCGUCAUCGUACACCUUGGUGACUCUGAAUAACUUUAUGCUGAUCGCACGGUCUCGCACCGGCGACGCAUCUUUCAAAUGUCUGCCUUAUCAACUGUCGAUGGUAGGCUCUGCGCCUACCAUGGUUGUAACGGGUAACGGGGAAUCAGGGUUCGAUUCCGGAGAGGGAGCCUGAGAAACGGCUACCACAUCCAAGGAAGGCAGCAGGCGCGCAAAUUACCCACUCCCGGCACGGGGAGGUAGUGACGAAAAAUAACGAUACGGGACUCAUCCGAGGCCCCGUAAUCGGAAUGAGUACACUCUAAACCCUUUAACGAGGAUCAAUUGGAGGGCAAGUCUGGUGCCAGCAGCCGCGGUAAUUCCAGCUCCAAUAGCGUAUAUUAAAGUUGUUGCGGUUAAAAAGCUCGUAGUCGAACUUGUGUCCCGCGCCGCCGGUUCAUCGCUCGCGGUGUUUAACUGGCGUGUCCGCGGGACGUCCUGCCGGUGGACUCAGUCCUUUAGGGGGCGGUCCAACUUCAAAUCCCACCGCGGUGCUCUUUACCGAGUGUCGAGGUGGGCCGGCACGUUUACUUUGAACAAAUUAGAGUGCUUAAAGCAGGCUAAAACUUUGCCUGAAUACUGUGUGCAUGGAAUAAUGGAAUAGGACCUCGGUUCUAUUUUGUUGGUUUUCGGAACUCCGAGGUAAUGAUUAAUAGGAACGGAUGGGGGCAUUCGUAUUGCGACGUUAGAGGUGAAAUUCUUGGAUCGUCGCAAGACGGACAGAAGCGAAAGCAUUUGCCAAAAACGCUUUCAUUGAUCAAGAACGAAAGUUAGAGGUUCGAAGGCGAUCAGAUACCGCCCUAGUUCUAACCAUAAACGAUGCCAGCUAGCGAUCCGCCGACGUUCCUCCGAUGACUCGGCGGGCAGCUUCCGGGAAACCAAAGCUUUUGGGUUCCGGGG
Molecule: ribosomal RNA, 1133 nt
Filed under: Cyclocephala aff. pasadenae/hirta MV20150618
Lineage: Eukaryota; Metazoa; Arthropoda; Insecta; Coleoptera; Scarabaeidae
Description: SSU rRNA
Rfam family: Eukaryotic small subunit ribosomal RNA
Source: RNAcentral